GGAGAAGGUAGAAGCUUGCUUUUACUGGAGACUGGCGGACGGGUGAGUAACGCGUAGAUAACCUGCCUAUAGCUGGGGGAUAACACUGCGAAAGUGGUGCUAAUACCGCAUAAUGCAGCGGGGCCGCAUGGCCAUAGUUGUUAAAGGUUUCGGCCGGCUAUAGAUGGGUCUGCGUGCUAUUAGUUAGUUGGUAGGGUAACGGCCUACCAAGGCGAUGAUAGCUAGGGGGUCUGAGAGGAUGAUCCCCCACACUGGGACUGAGACACGGCCCAGACUCCUACGGGAGGCAGCAGUGAGGAAUCUUGCGCAAUGGGCGAAAGCCUGACGCAGCCACGCCGCGUGCCGGAUGAAGGCCCUAUGGGUUGUAAACGGCUUUUACUAGGGAAGAACGAGAGGGUUUCGAUCUUCUGUGACGGUACCUAGUGAAUAAGCACCGGCUAACUCCGUGCCAGCAGCCGCGGUAAU
RNAcentral lists this ribosomal RNA (465 nucleotides) under uncultured Bacteroidota bacterium. Its description in RNAcentral is "bacterial SSU rRNA". It matches the Rfam family "Bacterial small subunit ribosomal RNA", at positions 67 to 524 of the family's 1533-position model. The record is from RNAcentral. Lineage: Bacteria; Pseudomonadati; Bacteroidota.